This is a long non-coding RNA of Lingula anatina, 396 nucleotides long. The record is from RefSeq and is a predicted model, not a curated record. Lineage: Eukaryota; Metazoa; Brachiopoda; Lingulata; Lingulida; Lingulidae.
CGUGGCCCCUCAGUCCCUGAUGGGGCUAGUGUAGAACUCAAGUGUCAAGGACUGCUUGUUGGUGAAACUGUGACUGUCAGUCUGUCUAAAGGCCCUUUGGUUCUUUGUGAGGUGACAAUUAAAGGGUACAGAUAUAAAGAGUGUGCUAAUAAAAAAUAUGGUCCUGAAUGUCGAAGCAGAUGUAACUGUAAGGAUGAGAAUGAACAAUGCCAUUCUGCGACUGGGUCUUGUGUUUCUGGUUGUGCAGUGGGAUGGUACGGCCGACACCAAGGGGAUUGUGAAAUAGCAAGCCCAUACAUCGCUACAGCCCCAACAAUAGUUUCGAGGACAAAACAUUCAGUCACCAUCAGGUGGGAAAAGUGGUCACCCGAGAAAAACCAAGGAAUUGGCACCAUC